RNAcentral lists this ribosomal RNA (468 nucleotides) under uncultured bacterium. Its description in RNAcentral is "partial 16S ribosomal RNA". It matches the Rfam family "Bacterial small subunit ribosomal RNA", at positions 28 to 507 of the family's 1533-position model. The record is from RNAcentral.
GACGAACGCUGGCGGCGUGCUUAACACAUGCAAGUCGAACGGAAAGGCCCUGCGUUUGUGGGGUGCUCGGGUGGCGAACGGAUGAGUAACACGUGAGUAACCUGACCUUGACUUUGGGAUAACUUCAGGAAACUGGGGCUAAUACCGGAUAGGAGCUCCUGCUGCAUGGUGGGGGGUGGAAAGUUUCGGCGGUUGGGGAUGGACUCGCGGCUUAGCAGCUUGUUGGGGGGGUAGUGGCUUACCAAGGCUGUGACGGGUAGCCGGCCUGAGAGGGUGACCGGCCACAUUGGGACUGAGAUACGGCCCAGACUCCUACGGGAGGCAGCAGUGGGGAAUAUUGCACAAUGGGCGGAAGCCUGAUGCAGCAACGCCGCGUGCGGGAUGACGGCCUUCGGGUUGUAAACCGCUUUCGCCUGUGACGAAGCGUGAGUGACGGUAAUGGGUAAAGAAGCACCGGCUAACUACGUG